This 468-nucleotide ribosomal RNA is filed under the name uncultured bacterium. RNAcentral's name for it is "bacterial SSU rRNA". It matches the Rfam family "Bacterial small subunit ribosomal RNA", at positions 29 to 497 of the family's 1533-position model. The record is from RNAcentral.
AGCGAACGUUUGCGGCGGGCCUAACACAUGCAAGUCGAACGCACUAGCAAUAGUGAGUGGCGCACGGGUGCGUAACACGUGGGUAAUCAACCCUUCAGCCUGGGAUAACGACUCGAAAGGGUCGCUAAUACCGGAUACGGCGCGAGAGGCUUCGGCUUCUCACGAGAAAGCCACGCAAGGGGCACUGAAGGACGAGCCUGCGGCCCAUCAGCUAGUUGGUGAGGUAAGAGCUUACCAAGGCUAAGACGGGUAGCUGGUCUGAGAGGAUGAUCAGCCACACUGGAACUGAGACACGGUCCAGACUCCUACGGGAGGCAGCAGUGGGGAACUAUUGCGCAAUGGGCGAAAGCCUGACGCAGCCACGCCGCGUGAGCGAUGAAGGCCUUCGGUCGUAAGACUCUGUGGGAGAGACGAAGAAAGACCUGUGAAGAGCAGGCCUUGACGGUAGUCUCCUUAGCAAGCACCGGC